Molecule: ribosomal RNA, 558 nt
Filed under: uncultured bacterium
Lineage: Bacteria
Description: bacterial SSU rRNA
Rfam family: Bacterial small subunit ribosomal RNA
Source: RNAcentral
UGAGUACAGUGGCGUACGGGUGAGUAACACGUGGGUAAUCUACCUCUUAGUGGGGAAUAACCCUGGGAAACCGGGGAUAAUACCGCAUAAGCCUGAGAAGGGAAAGCAGCAAUGCGCUGAGAGAGGAGCCCGCGGCCGAUUAGCUAGUUGGCAGGGUAAGAGCCUACCAAGGCAGAGAUCGGUAGCCGGCCUGAGAGGGCACACGGCCACACUGGCACUGAAACACGGGCCAGACUCCUACGGGAGGCAGCAGUGGGGAAUCUUGCACAAUGGGGGAAACCCUGAUGCAGCGACGCCGCGUGAGCGAUGAAGCCCUUCGGGGUGUAAAGCUCUUUCGGCAGGGAAGAUAAUGACGGUACCUGCAGAAGCAGCUGCGGCUAACUACGUGCCAGCAGCCGCGGUAAUACGUAGGCAGCAAGCGUUGUUCGGAGUUACUGGGCGUAAAGGGUGUGUAGGCGGUUGUUUAAGUUUGGUGUGAAAUCUCCCGGCUCAACUGGGAGGGUGCGCCGAAUACUGAAUGACUAGAGUGCGGGAGAGGAGAGUGGAAUUCCUGGUGUA